GCAGGCAACACCCUCUCACUGCCCCAUCUACUCCCAUGUUAAUUGGAGAUUAGAAAUUUUGAAAGGAGCUUGUUGAACCUCUUCUCUCUCAAUCUCCCAAGGUCUCAUUUUUUAACUUUAGCCACUGAAACUCGGCAGUCUUAUAGUCAACAAGAUGACAAUGCUCACGGUCUUUUCGGUUUUCAUUUCGGUCGUUCCUGGCCAUGGGUUCGAGGGGAUUCAUUUUAAAUGUUUCUGUCUCUCUCAAGAGUCUCAAGUGCUGUGGUCUCCCCUGGUUUCCAUGACAACCAAAGCCUGCCUUUCACACACACACAUAGCUAGCUACAGAGGCUGACAAAGCAUUAACACUAGAACUACCAAGGCAGUCAUUUUGACCGUUUUUAAAUUUUACAGUGUAAUAACUUUGUUAAAAUAAAAUCAAUGUGGCUGUAGGACUCUGACUUUUCCUAAAUAUGUGUAUAUUUUAUUCUGACACUGUUAUUUUAUUAAAAUCACAAAACACAAAACAGUUCUGACUAUUUCUACCUAGAAUGACCAUGGCGGUCAUUUUGACCGCACGCAUUAUAGAUAUCAUAUUUAAGUCCGCUACAUUUCCCGCCAUUGGUAAUGAACGUCCCCGUUGCAUAGCAACGAUCUGUCCUUCUUUGUUUACGCUAUUCCAACACUAUAAGUUAUACAUUUGAGCUAACAAAAUGUCAUCAAAAAGAACAAUGACAGCCACAGAGGCUUUAGCCAUGCUUCGGAGGCUCGACGAUGAGGAGUCUGAUGGAGGAGCAGGUACGGAUCGGGACAGCGAUGUCUCUUGGUCCCUGGACAGUUCAUCCAGCUCUGAGAGUGAUUCAGAUAAUGAAUUCAUUCCCCGUCGAAAAAAGAGCCGUCUGGACAUCUCCGAUCCUGGAACUGACCUUGUUCCAUCGGAUAAUAUUCCAGUGCAAAAUCCUGAUCCAUCAAAUGUGCCUGCUUUGCCAAGACAACUCAGUCCGCCACGAGAUGAGGAAGCUGGCCCAAUAAACCCACUUUCAGCCGAGAGGCGUGAAACGGCGA
RNAcentral lists this long non-coding RNA (1044 nucleotides) under Dicentrarchus labrax (European seabass). RNAcentral's name for it is "lncRNA (ENSDLAG00005026847.1)". The record is from RNAcentral. Lineage: Eukaryota; Metazoa; Chordata; Actinopteri; Moronidae.